UACGGAGGGGGCUAGCGUUGUUCGGAAUUACUGGGCGUAAAGCGCACGUAGGCGGCUUUGUAAGUCAGGGGUGAAAGCCUGGAGCUCAACUCCAGAACUGCCUUUGAGACUGCAUCGCUUGAAUCCGGGAGAGGUGAGUGGAAUUCCGAGUGUAGAGGUGAAAUUCGUAGAUAUUCGGAAGAACACCAGUGGCGAAGGCGGCUCACUGGACCGGUAUUGACGCUGAGGUGCGAAAGCGUGGGGAGCAAACAGG
RNAcentral lists this ribosomal RNA (253 nucleotides) under uncultured bacterium. RNAcentral's name for it is "partial 16S ribosomal RNA". It matches the Rfam family "Bacterial small subunit ribosomal RNA", at positions 524 to 776 of the family's 1533-position model. RNAcentral also lists the same sequence under 1 other name. The record is from RNAcentral.